Molecule: ribosomal RNA, 423 nt
Filed under: Triticum aestivum (bread wheat)
Lineage: Eukaryota; Viridiplantae; Streptophyta; Magnoliopsida; Poales; Poaceae
Description: partial small subunit ribosomal RNA
Source: RNAcentral
AUGGCGCCCAAGGCGGAGAAGAAGCCGGCGGCCGAGAAGCCCCCCGCCGCGAAGAAGCCCAAGGCCGAGAAGCGGCUGCCCGCGGGCAAGACCGCCUCCAAGGAGGGCGGCGGCGAGAAGAGGGGCCGGAAGAAGGGCAAGAAGAGCGUCGAGACCUACAAGAUCUACAUCUUCAAGGUGCUCAAGCAGGUGCACCCCGACAUCGGCAUCUCCUCCAAGGCCAUGUCCAUCAUGAACUCCUUCAUCAACGACAUCUUCGAGAAGCUCGCCGGGGAGGCCGCCAAGCUCGCCCGCUACAACAAGAAGCCCACGAUCACCUCCCGCGAGAUCCAGACCUCCGUCCGCCUCGUCCUCCCCGGAGAGCUCGCCAAGCACGCCGUCUCUGAGGGCACCAAGGCCGUCACCAAGUUCACCUCCUCUUAG